UACGUAGGGGGCGAGCGUUGUUCGGAAUUACUGGGCGUAAAGGGCGUGUAGGCGGUGCGGUAAGUCGGACGUGAAAUCCCCGGGCUUAACUCGGGGGGGUCGUUCGAAACUGCCGUGCUCGAGUGUGGGAGAGGGAAGUGGAAUUCCCGGUGUACCGGUGAAAUGCGUAGAUAUCGGGAAGAACACCGGUGGCGAAGGCGGCUUCCUGGCCCACAACUGACGCUGAGGCGCGAAAGCUAGGGGAGCAAACAGG
RNAcentral lists this ribosomal RNA (253 nucleotides) under uncultured bacterium. RNAcentral describes it as "partial 16S ribosomal RNA". It matches the Rfam family "Bacterial small subunit ribosomal RNA", at positions 524 to 776 of the family's 1533-position model. The record is from RNAcentral.